ACCGUCAGCCGUUUCCAAGCUU
This 22-nucleotide small nuclear RNA is filed under the name Arabidopsis thaliana (thale cress). RNAcentral describes it as "snRNA_14725". Lineage: Eukaryota; Viridiplantae; Streptophyta; Magnoliopsida; Brassicales; Brassicaceae. The record is from RNAcentral.